Molecule: ribosomal RNA, 216 nt
Filed under: Glomeromycotina sp.
Lineage: Eukaryota; Fungi; Glomeromycota
Description: partial small subunit ribosomal RNA
Rfam family: Eukaryotic small subunit ribosomal RNA (bases 40-216)
Source: RNAcentral
GGGUCAGUAGGUUGGUCGUGCCACCGGUACGUACUGGUCUCACUGAUUCCUCCUUCCUGAAGGACCGUAAUGCCAUUAAUUUGGUGUUGCGGGGAAACAGGACUGUUACUUUGAAAAAAUUAGAGUGUUUAAAGCAAGCUAACGCUUGAAUACAUUAGCAUGGAAUAAUGAAAUAGGACGAUCGAUCCUAUUUUGCUGGUUUCUAGGAUUGACGUA